Molecule: ribosomal RNA, 486 nt
Filed under: uncultured bacterium
Lineage: Bacteria
Description: partial 16S ribosomal RNA
Rfam family: Bacterial small subunit ribosomal RNA
Source: RNAcentral
GGGGGGGGGGGGGGGGGGGGCGGGGGGGUGCGGGGCGGGCGGGGGCGCGGGUGCGUGGACCUGGUGGCGAGUGGCGAACGGGUGAGUAAUACAUCGGGACAGGUGCUGUAGGGGGGGGUAGCCCGGCGAAAGCCGGCGUGAUACCGCAUACGGUCUACGGAUGAAAGCGGGGGACCGGCGGGCGUCGCGCGAUAGGGUUGGCCGAUGGCGCAUUAGCUAGUGGGUGGGGUAACGGCCUACCAAGGCGACGAGCAGUAGCUGGUCUGAGAGGACGACCAGCCACACUGGGACUGAGCCACGGCCCAGACUCCUACGGGAGGCAGCAGUGGGGAAUUUUGGACAAUGGGCGAAAGCCUGAUCCAGCAAUGCCGCGUGUGUGAAGAAGGCCUUCGGGUUGUAAAGCACUUUUGUCCGGAAAGAAAUCCUUGGCCCUAAUACGGUCGGGGGAUGACGGUACCGGAAGAAUAAGCACCGGCUAACUACGUG